UCUCUGAUCGUAUAACGGUUAGUACACACGCCUGUCACGCGUGAGACCGGGGUUCGACUCCCCGUCAGAGAG
This 72-nucleotide transfer RNA is filed under the name Volvariella volvacea V23. RNAcentral's name for it is "tRNA-Asp (GTC) (tRNA-Asp-GTC-1 1 to 5)". It matches the Rfam family "tRNA". Rfam says of the family: Transfer RNA (tRNA) molecules are approximately 80 nucleotides in length. Their secondary structure includes four short double-helical elements and three loops (D, anti-codon, and T loops). Further hydrogen bonds mediate the characteristic L-shaped molecular structure. tRNAs have two regions of fundamental functional importance: the anti-codon, which is responsible for specific mRNA codon recognition, and the 3' end, to which the tRNAs corresponding amino acid is attached (by aminoacyl-tRNA synthetases). tRNAs cope with the degeneracy of the genetic code in two manners: having more than one tRNA (with a specific anti-codon) for a particular amino acid; and 'wobble' base-pairing, i.e. permitting non-standard base-pairing at the 3rd anti-codon position. Lineage: Eukaryota; Fungi; Basidiomycota; Agaricomycetes; Agaricales; Pluteaceae. The record is from RNAcentral.